AACAAAACUCAAUGAAUUUCUCUUCAUGGUCACCACUGAUAAAAUUUUUGGGUUAUUUUACUUUUAAUCUUUUAAAAGAAGAUAUUGGGGAAAAAUUCUCACUUCUCUCCUUCCCCUCAAACUCCAAGAAAGUAUGCACCAUAUCUUCCUGUAUAUGCUAUAUAAAUAUACAUGAAUCAAUUUAAAUAGAGCUACAAGGAAUAGGCAGGAUAUUGUCACAGAAUCUGAAGCAAUCAUACUUUCUCACUACAAAUAGGGUCAACAUUAAUAAUUGGCAUAUUUCAUUUUUUUAAACUUUUAGACUGUUGAUAGGUAUAGAAUAAGAUAGCUGUAGAAUAAGGACUGAGGAUGGCAUUUUUAAAAGGUAGCUCCAUUACAUUAUUUAAUUAAAAUAUUUUUGUUCCUUUGUCAUUUCCUGUUCUGUCCAUGGGAUUUUGCACAUAGUAAGUAUCACAAGCUGAAAGGUGAGACUUUUUUGGCAAAUUUUAGAUAAGUGUAGGCAGGUUUAAAAACUCCCAGCUGGUUACUCCGUAGAAAUUUAACUCAUUCUUUCAUUAGGAAGCUGAAUUAACCCCAUACUUCAAGGAGACAGAUUCCAACUGUAGAGAAUCAGACAGACUCCAAGAUUCAUAAUUCCUGACACAUAUGCUUUUGGAAAAUGCAUCUGUAGAAACUGUGGAAGUUGUAGACUUGAUAGUUGGGUUGGAUAUAAAAGACUGAAGUCACAAGGGCACUUCAUGUGAACAAAAUAAAGACUGUGCUGGUUUUGCUUUUGACCAAUGUUUUUUUCUCAACUGCUUAGAAAACAAAUACUUUAACUUGUCCACUAACUCUAGCUUUUUCUUUCAGAAAUGGUGACAGUAAAGUCCUAAGGAAUUAUUUUUUUUAUCUAAAAGAAACUAUUUUCUUGCUUGCUUGCUGCUGGCUUCCUCUCCUGUGUGAUGAAGGUGUGCCCCAGACUUGAAAGAAACCAGAGAAACAAUAUCCAAAGCUGGAAGUGAAAAUGUGAUCUACAAGGAAGAUUAACAAAAAUGAAGAGUGUUUCUGAUUAUCACGGUAAUUUUCUUAGCCACAAAUAGGAUUCUGAAUCUAAAGAAUCAGGAUGCUGUUUGGCACAUCACAGUAUAAACUUGCUAAAUAGUAAGUUAUGAACCUAGAAUAUAAAUAGGCUUCUAAGAUAUUUUCCUUACUAUAAGCAGUGGCUUAGAUAUAAGAAGACUCUGGCUAAUCUUCUAGAGCAGUUUGUUGGCAUGAAAUAGACCUUGUAAAUAUUUUAUGUAUGUCCUUCCAGACUGACUAAUCUAAGAACAAAGGUUUUCAAUUGUACCCUGAAAGUUUAUCCUCAAGAAAUGGUGUACUCUAUAUUUUAGAGCUACAAACAUCUGUAGAAAAUUCCCAUCUACAAGUUUUUGAAAUUGAAUGACAGGACUGUCAGUAGUGGUGGUGUCUGUCUGUUUCCAUGUCAGUGGGUAAUGGCAAUUUUGGGUUUUUUUUUGAGCCUCAAGCAUUUAGCACCUAGUAACUUUAAUCUAAAUCCCCUGAAUUUCUGAAAUCAUAUUUUUUACUUGUGUAAAGAAAUGGACAUCUAUUUCUGUAAAGAAGGUUACAAUCUUUCAUAACUAAAGGACAAUUUAAAACACUUGUUUUGUAAUAUUGAAAUGUUUUGAAAUAAAAUAUCUGGUCAUAAUGUUACCUAAUUAUUCUGUUACUAAGACUAAUACCUUGGAAUUCAUUAUUCAGCCAUUAAAGAAACGUUUAUUUCAAUUGUAAGAAGCAGCACAUAAACUGUUCUUACUUGUCUAUUCUUUUUUUAAAAAGUCCUGCAGAAAUAUGGUGACUUUUUAAUCUAAAUUUUCUGAAAGUAAGCAAGGGAAGAGAAAAAUUAUUACUUUUGAAUAUACGAUGCAGUAAAAUUUUCCUUUAUAUAAAAGUUUCUUUUGGAAAAAUUAUUUGAUAAUAGAAUAUGCACAGGACCCGUUAGUAUUUUGCAAUGUUCCUUCAAAUUAUUGUUUUCUACUCAGUCUGAUGAUAAGUGGUCCAAUACAGUAAUGAGUUUUUUCUAUCCCUCUGGAUAGUCAGUUUUUUUCAUUUAACAUUUUUUAUACAUUAACUCAUAUAAUUUCUAGUUAUGUCAUUGACUAAUUUAGCCAUAUAUGUUUAUAUGUAUAUAAUAUUGACUAAUACUCUGCCUAUUCACAGAAACGUCAUGUUAUUCCAAAUUCCUAGUCUGACAAAUUUAAACCAUGCAAUACAUGCAAACAUCAAUAAACAGAACAGACACUAAUCUGAGGAAUAUAUAAGGAAAAACUCAAAAAUCUCAAACUUGUAUUGGAGGCAAUUUCUUAUGGGAAAAAUAUACUUUGAUCCUAAGACAGAUAAGUCAGAUCUAUUAAAUUAUAAUGAGCCCACAGUCCAGCUUAAGUAAAAUUCUAUAGAUAUGAUCUUAAUGUGGAGCUCACAUUGAUGAGAUUUUAAGUGUUUCAUUCCUGCGUAAGGUUAUCUAUGUUCUGCUUUUAUUUAUUUUCUAGCAGUUAGUUUUUCACAGUGUGGCUUUGCCACACUCAGAAACAAAGGAGCAUCAUCAUUAUUAUUACUAUGAUAACAUUUACAUAGAAGACAGUAGCAGGUGCAGAGUCCACAAUUAAGAUGAAUUCCACUGCAGUAUAUGAGAUGGAUUGCAGAAGACAGGCAAAGCGCAUUCAACCAUGAACAAAUAAAGUACAUUAAACUGAAUAUGCUCACAAUAUCAACUCGAAACAAUGCAAAAUACUAUCUUCAGACUAGUUUCUGUCAUUUAACUUGAAUUACAGAAGAACGCUGGCAAAAUUGUCGAUAAUCUACAAGCUAAUCAGAGCAAGAAGAAAGCACAUUCUCUCUAGGUGUAGGAUGAAUAAUGGCAACACAAUGUAAACUUAUCUGCUGUGUUAAAGGGCCGUUAGCCUUCAUUCUGACGACUCCUUCGUGCUGUACUCAGGGCCUUGCCUUUGUGCUCUAACAGCUCCUGGUACAUACUAGAUUCUAUCAAAAAAUUGGUCUUAUUUAUUUUACUAUUUCAAAUUUUUAUUGUGAAAAAUUUAAACAUACAGAAAAUGUUAAUGAAUAAUAUAACCAAAUUUGUAUACUUAUCACCCAGAUUUAAUCAUUAAUAUUUGCCAAAUUUGCAUUAUCUUAUUUAUUUAUUUAUUUUUUGAAAUGGAGUUUUGCUGUUGUUGCCCAGGCUGGAGUGUAAUGAUGCGAUCUUGGCUCACUGCAACCUCCACCUCCCGGGUUCAAGCAAUUCUUGUGCCUCGGCCUCCCGAGUAGCUGGGAUUACAGGCAUGCUCCACACCUUGCUAAUUUUGUAUUUUUAGUAGAGACAGGGUUUCACCAUGUUGGCCAGGCUGGUCUCAAACUCCUGACCUUAAGUGAUGCACCCACCUCGGCCUCCCAAAGUGCUGGGAUUACAGGUGUGAGCUACUGUGCCCAGACACAUUAUAUCUAUAUAUGCCUACAUGACCAGACCAUUAGAGAGUAAGAUUUCAGUAUGAAUCUCCUAAGAACAACUAACAUAACCACAACACAAUUAACACACCUAAGAAAAGCACAAUGACUCAAUGUCUAAUAUUCAUUCUGUAUUCAAAUUCACCUAAUUAUCUUAAAAAAUGUCUGUUCUGGCUGUGAUUUUUGUUUUCUUUUUAACCAAUAGCCUAUUAAGGGAAACUAAAUCUUGAAAUGGUAGCUUAAUUCUAUGGGCCAUCUGGCUCAGACACAGAUCCAACUUAAAAAUGGCAUAAACAAAAGUAUUUCUCUCUCAUUUAACAGUCUGGACAUGUGCCAGUACAGGGCACUUUGGGUGGCUCUUCCAUCCUCAGCUCAUGGCUUCAUCUCUCAGUUGAAAUGUGGCAGCUCUAGCCCCAUGGUCAUGCCAUAGAGAAGGCACAGGGGAGCACACACUCCCAGGGCAUGAUCCAGAUGUUGUAGAUACAAGUUCUGUUCACAUUCCAUUAUAUAGGAUGUUGACACAUAAUCCUACUAUUUGCAGCAGAGGCUGAGAAAAACAGUUCUUAUUAUUGAUGGCCAUGUGUCUAAAUUUCCCUGGACCUGUGAAUCUUGUGUAUAAAGGAAGAAUAUUUUAAGGGCUGCAAUUAGCUUUCUCUGCUAUGAGGUAUUUCUGGAAAUGACUGAGCUAUGACAAACUAUAUUAAAAUUAAUUCCCAAGACACUGCAACAUAAUGAUGGGUUUAAGCUUAUUAAUGGUUAAGACUGUUUUUCUCUUACACUGAAUAAGCUUCAUGUUAUUAAUAUUCAUUUUGAGUUCAUCAACGUGUUUUUUUUUUUAGAUUUUCUUUGUCCCUCCUUGUCAGUAUAUAAGCUGUCCAUGCUCAUUAAUGGAACCAUGCUUUCUUCCCUUACCAGUUUUUAUUGUUAAGUUUUUUAAAAUAAAAUGUAUUUAAGUAUUAAUAUACAUGAAGGAAAGUUCACAAAUCAUAAUUUACAGCAUGGUGAAGCCAGUAAAACAUACUUGUAAACACCACUUGGAUCAAGAAAUGGAACAUGUCAGUGUUCUAGAAGCAUUUUUGGUAACCUCUAAAUAUUACUCCUUUCUUCUCCCAAAGAUAACGAUUAUUCUGACCUUUGACACCAUGGUUCAAUAUUGUAUGUUUUUGAAUUUUAUAUACGCAAAAAUCAUUCAAUACACAUUCCUUUUUGUCUGACAUUUCUUGUUCAAUAGUAUGCUUAUGAGAUUCACUGAUAUUAUUGCAUGUAGCAGUAGUUCAUUCAUUUUCAUUGCCUAUGGGAUUGUAUGAACACAGUAUAAUUUAUUUAUCCAUUAAAUAAUUGAUGAACACCUGGAUUGCUUCUAGUUCUUGGCUACUACAAAUACAGUCACUCAGACCAUUAUUGUAUGUAUAUUUUGGUGCACAUAUGUAUAUAUUUGUUAAAUAUAUAUAGUUCUUGGGAAUGAAAUUGCUGGUUUAUGGGGUAAUUAGUAUGUGUAUAUUCAUUUUUCUUGCCUUAUUUCACGCAGACUUCUAGUACAAUGUUGAAUAGAAGUCAUCAUAAAGAGAAUUCUUGUCUUGCUCAGGACCUCAAGGAAAAAUCUUUCGCCACUGCACCUACUUCACCGUUAAGUAUGAUAUCGUUUGCUUUAGGAGUUUUGCAAAUAUCAUUCGUCAGAUUAAGAAAAUUCUUUCUAGUCCUAAUAUUCUAAGGUUCUCUUGUGGGUAUGGAGUGAAUAUUUUAUCAAAUGCUUUUAUUAUUGAGGUGAUUAUAUAAUUUUCCUCUUUAUAACCAGCCUUGCAUUCCUGAAAUAAACCCAAUUUCUUGGUGAUAUAUUAUCCCUAAAUAUCCCAUGUAUCAAAGAAGAUAUUACGUUGGAAAUUAUAUAUGUUUAACUGAAUUAUAAUGAAAGUAUGACAUAUAUCUUUUUGUUUUUUGAGACAGAGUUUCACUCUU
This 5436-nucleotide long non-coding RNA is filed under the name Homo sapiens (human). Its description in RNAcentral is "HSALNT0186772". The record is from RNAcentral. Lineage: Eukaryota; Metazoa; Chordata; Mammalia; Primates; Hominidae.